UACGUAGGUGGCAAGCGUUGUUCGGAAUUACUGGGCGUAAAGGGCUCGUAGGCGGCCAACUAAGUCAGACGUGAAAUCCCUCGGCUUAACCGGGGAACUGCAUCUGAUACUGGAUGGCUUGAGUUCGGGAGAGGGAUGCGGAAUUCCAGGUGUAGCGGUGAAAUGCGUAGAUAUCUGGAGGAACACCGGUGGCGAAGGCGGCAUCCUGGACCGACACUGACGCUGAGGAGCGAAAGCCAGGGGAGCAAACGGG
Molecule: ribosomal RNA, 253 nt
Filed under: uncultured bacterium
Lineage: Bacteria
Description: partial 16S ribosomal RNA
Rfam family: Bacterial small subunit ribosomal RNA
Source: RNAcentral